RNAcentral lists this ribosomal RNA (252 nucleotides) under uncultured bacterium. Its description in RNAcentral is "partial 16S ribosomal RNA". It matches the Rfam family "Bacterial small subunit ribosomal RNA", at positions 524 to 775 of the family's 1533-position model. The record is from RNAcentral.
UACGAAGGGGGCUAGCGUUGUUCGGAAUUACUGGGCGUAAAGCGCGUGUAGGCGGGUCUUUAAGUCAGGGGUGAAAUGCCAAGGCUCAACCUUGGAACUGCCUUUGAUACUGGAGAUCUUGAGUCCGGGAGAGGUGAGUGGAACUGCGAGUGUAGAGGUGAAAUUCGUAGAUAUUCGCAAGAACACCAGUGGCGAAGGCGGCUCACUGGCCCGGAACUGACGCUGAGACGCGAAAGCGUGGGGAGCAAACAG